AUGGAGGCGCCUCUGAAGGCUCUUUUUGGGGUAACGGAAGAGAGCCUUCUGAUAUCCCUGGUUGAGGGUCACUCCAACCACACCUCCUCCUCCAGCUCCUCCGAGUUGAGCUGUGCUAUCGUGGGGGAGGUGGUACACCAGCUUAACUCUGGCCUCUCAGUGGCCAUUCAGGCCAGCCCGGGGAGUUGCCCCCCUAUGGACAGUCAGGACAUAGCAGCAGGCAAGGAGGUCAUUCGGGUAGCCUCGGUUCAGAUCCUGGCCGAGCUACAGAGCCAAACAUCUGAGCCAGAGUGGGUAGGGUUUAUCGAGCCCCUCAUGGACCCUGUGACCGAUGAUGUGCUGGAGGCCAUUGUCGGCACAAUGGACAAAAUGGCACAGGACUUCAACAUCCUAUUGGAUCUGGCCAAGAAGAUGACAAUCUUGGGGUCUAAAUUUCUGACCAAUCUUCAAUGUGACCUAGAUGUUGAGUGUCCAUCUGGGAAGGAAGGGACCACUCACUUUCUCAAAGAGACUGGAUCCUCUACCAGUGUGGCGUCCAGAAAGAUUCAGACCCUCUCUAGCCCCGACUUUCAGUCUAAAGCCCUGAAGGCGGUGAGCACCAUCCUUACAAGGAAAGUCAGCAGCUCUUCUGGCAUGGCUCCUUCCUCUAGGCCUUCUAGUGCUGCUCCUAGCCUUACUGAAGCCCCGCUGAAUACCAGCUGCACAGCCCUGACAUCUGUAACCUCCACUGCCACAGUGAUUGUUAAGGCAUUUGUGGGAGGCAUGGAGACGAUAGCAUCAUUUGAAGACACAUGUGAAGCAGUUGAUUGGCCAGUUCCUGUAAAUGACCACAAAACAGGGUCUUCACAGAAGAUAACCUUCUCUCUAGCCGGCACACUCUAUGGCCGUAUACGAGCAAAGCUGAGGGACCUUUUAACUCUAGCCGCUCGAGAAGAAGGUGUGGCAAAGGAUGCUUCUCUUCGGGAGUCUUCAGACACCCUGGAAAAGGCAACUGUUUCAACUGUUGAGGUCCAGUUACCCAGCACCGAACACAGUAGAGUUCCCAGAGAGAGCCAACCAAUACCAGCUCUCUGUCUCUCCAAUCUGGAUACCAGUACUCAAGAAGUUCUUAGCAGUGUUUUUUCCAUCUACAAGUCAGAGUUAUCAAAAGUGGAGAGUAAAUCCUUAGCCGUUGUCAGUUCAUCUGAUGAGUCCCUAGAGGCUUGUUGGUUUGUUGAUGGUGUCCUAUCAAAGCUUGAUGACUAUACUAUUUCCCAGUCACCCUCACCCAAUGAAGACUUGAGCGUGAGUACUCAAUAUUCUCAACUGAGCUCAGAAGAGAGUGUCAGAAUCACAGAGUCCUCAACUAGUCUGAUUCAGAGCAUUAAGAAGCUCUCUAGCAAUGACUUUCAGACUCAGGCAGAAGAGGCAGUGAGUAAAGUGCUGAUGAGAUCCAGUCAUUCCUUUAUCACAGAAAUCAGCCAUACUGGUCUUCAGAAAAGUCUGCAGAAUGGCUUAUCAUCUAGCUCACCAUCAGAGAUCCAUGUCCUUUCAGAAUCCAUGUCCUCCAUGUCCUCUGAGAAUACAGCCUCUGGAUUAGUGGAAACCUUUGUCAAAGGAAUGGCGACUAUUUUCCAGAAAAAUGAGUCCACUGACACUGUGCUACUGGAAAGAAGUGGGAGAGUUUCACAGUGCUUCCACGGGGGCUCCCAACUGGAUUAUACUGAAUUGAGUGUUAAAAUAUCAGAGGAGAAGCUUUGGUCAACAGCUAAGAACAUCUGCGUCAGUAUGAAGAACACACUUAAGGAUUUCUUCACAGGGCUGAAGCCAUCCGGAUCCGAAAGGACAGAAAUGGCUCCUUCCAAAGAGACCCUUGGGGAAAUCCUGGUUGCUAUCCAGAGUGAAAUCUCAAACUUCGGGCGAAUGAAGGAUUCCAGGGAGCUCCUUCAGAUCAAUGAUAUGGUAGGAACUAUGCUGAAGGAGAUUGAGAAAAGUGAGGAUGACAGUGAACAAGUCUGCCAAGACAUCCCUCGAACCUGUUCAUCUUUAUCCACUUCUUUAAAUGGUCGUAGUUCCUUGUCCAGCUCUUCAAAGGGUCCUAGGUCAGAGUGUGAGUUAGAGAUCAACCUCCCUGGCACUCCCAUCCCUGACGAAGUGCCUUUUGAUCUGACCUGCCCCAUCGUCAGGAGCUCCUGCAUCGACACCAGGGACUCUAAAAUGCCAGAGAUUUCUACAAGUGACCUAAAGACAAAGAUGAUGGCACACACAGAUGAACCCCUGCAUCGUAACAGUCCAAUGACUGACAGCAGCCGACCACCGAGUGCUAAAGUCUCUUUUCGAUCCUGCACUCCGUCUUUCACCAGCAAGGGAACCUCUUUGGUACCAAAGGGAGAGGGGAUUGACAUUGAAGAGAAGGAGGUGUGUAUCCCCAGCAGCUCUGGCCAUCUGAGGGAGCUCUUAAUCAUCCCGGACAUCAGCAGUGCCACUGCAUUCCCACUGCAGUACUUGAUGGACUCCAGCAAAGAUGAUGGCAUCUGUUUUGUCACCAUACUGGUGAUAAGGUUGCUAUCGGAGAUCAGACCCACAGCCCUAGAUGGACCCUCCCAACAGGCAGCAGAUCUGACAGAAACAUCUCAGCAACUCAUCAGACAAGUCCUGUCUGAGUUCUGUGCUCCAUCUAGAUUAUCCAGGACACAGGCAUAUUCCCAGAACCUGAACAUCCAAAGGGUGUUCAGAGGUGUACAUAAAAACCUCAUGGAGGAGUUUGGCUCUUAUAACACCCUGCAAGCAGCUAUGUCCUCCCAGGACCCUGCAUUUGACAGAGUCCUGGUAAAGUCCUUGACCCAGCAGCUGGUACAGGGAUGCAAGGAGGCGUCAAGACCAGCUUCUGCUGCAACAAACCCAUCAGACCAGGCUGAGAUGGAGAGGGGGGCUGAGCAGAAAGCAAGAAGGAGCUUCCUUUGCUUUUCAAUGACCAAACUCAGGAUCAACUUCAAGCGUUCCAAGAGAGGAAACAAAAAGGACUGCCAUUCAGUCCAAGACCAGACUGAGAUUCCCUCUACUGAUGGACAUUGCAUAGAGCGUGAAAUGGGAGGAUCCCCCGGAUGA
Molecule: long non-coding RNA, 3087 nt
Organism: Oncorhynchus mykiss (rainbow trout)
Lineage: Eukaryota; Metazoa; Chordata; Actinopteri; Salmoniformes; Salmonidae
Source: Ensembl